RNAcentral lists this ribosomal RNA (496 nucleotides) under uncultured bacterium. RNAcentral describes it as "partial 16S ribosomal RNA". It matches the Rfam family "Bacterial small subunit ribosomal RNA", at positions 28 to 507 of the family's 1533-position model. The record is from RNAcentral.
GAUGAACGCUGGCGGCGUGCCUAAUACAUGCAAGUCGAGCGAACAGACGAGGAGCUUGCUCCUCUGACGUUAGCGGCGGACGGGUGAGUAACACGUGGAUAACCUACCUAUAAGACUGGGAUAACUUCGGGAAACCGGAGCUAAUACCGGAUAAUAUAUUGAACCGCAUGGUUCAAUAGUGAAAAUCGUUUUUGUGUUAAAUAUAGGUCGGUCCGCGCCGGAUUAGCUAGUUGGUAAGGUAACGGCUUACCAAGGCGACGAUGCGUAGCCGACCUGAGAGGGUGAUCGGCCACACUGGAACUGAGACACGGUCCAGACUCCUACGGGAGGCAGCAGUAGGGAAUCUUCCGCAAUGGGCGAAAGCCUGACGGAGCAACGCCGCGUGAGUGAUGAAGGUCUUCGGAUCGUAAAACUCUGUUAUUAGGGAAGAACAAAUGUGUAAGUAACUAUGCACGUCUUGACGGUACCUAAUCAGAAAGCCACGGCUAACUACGUG